UUGGAGGGCAAGUCUGGUGCCAGCAGCCGCGGUAAUUCCAGCUCCAAUAGCGUAUAUUAAAGUUGUUGCAGUUAAAAGCUCGUAGUUGAAUUUCGGGGUCAGUAGGUUGGUCAUGCCACUGGUAUGUACUGGCCUCACUGAUUCCUCCUUCCUGAUGAGCCGUAAUGCCAUUAAUUUGGUGUUGCGAGGAAUCUGGACUGUUACUUUGAAAAAAUUAGAGUGUUUAAAGCAGGCUAACGCUUGAAUACAUUAGCAUGGAAUAAUGAAAUAGGACGUUCGAUCUUAUUUUGUUGGUUUCUAAGAUUGACGUAAUGAUUAAUAGGGAUAGUUGGGGGCAUUAGUAUUCAAUUGUCAGAGGUGAAAUUCUUGGAUUUAUUGAAGACUAACUACUGNGAAAGCAUUUGCCAAGGAUGUUUUCAUUAAUCAAGAACGAAAGUUAGGGGAUCGAAGACGAUCAGAUACCGUCGUAGUCUUAACCAUAAACUAUGCCGACUAGGGAUCGGAUGAUGUUAAUUUUUUAAUGACUCAUUCGGCGCCUUACGGGAAAC
Molecule: ribosomal RNA, 548 nt
Filed under: uncultured Glomus
Lineage: Eukaryota; Fungi; Glomeromycota; Glomeromycetes; Glomerales; Glomeraceae
Description: SSU rRNA
Rfam family: Eukaryotic small subunit ribosomal RNA
Source: RNAcentral